UACGUAGGGUGCGAGCGUUGUCCGGAUUUAUUGGGCGUAAAGAGCUCGUAGGCGGUUUGUCGCGUCGGCCGUGAAAUCUCCACGCUUAACGUGGAGCGUGCGGUCGAUACGGGCAGACUUGAGUUCGGUAGGGGAGACUGGAAUUCCUGGUGUAGCGGUGAAAUGCGCAGAUAUCAGGAGGAACACCGAUGGCGAAGGCAGGUCACUGGGCCGCAACUGACGCUGAGGAGCGAAAGCGUGGGGAGCGAACAGG
This 253-nucleotide ribosomal RNA is filed under the name uncultured bacterium. RNAcentral describes it as "partial 16S ribosomal RNA". It matches the Rfam family "Bacterial small subunit ribosomal RNA", at positions 524 to 776 of the family's 1533-position model. The record is from RNAcentral.